GUGGGGAAUCUUGCGCAAUGGGCGAAAGCCUGACGCAGCCAUGCCGCGUGAAUGAUGAAGGUCUUAGGAUUGUAAAAUUCUUUCACCGGGGACGAUAAUGACGGUACCCGGAGAAGAAGCCCCGGCUAACUUCGUGCCAGCAGCCGCGGUAAUACGAAGGGGGCUAGCGUUGCUCGGAAUUACUGGGCGUAAAGGGCGCGUAGGCGGACAGUUUAGUCAGAGGUGAAAGCCCAGGGCUCAACCUUGGAAUUGCCUGUGAUACUGGCUGUCUUGAGUACGGGAAAGGUGAGUGGAACUCCGAGUGUAGAGGUGAAAUUCGUAGAUAUUCGGAAGAACACCAGUGGCGAAGGCGACUCACUGGCCCGUUACUGACGCUGAGGCGCGAAAGCGUGGGGAGCAAACAGGAUUAGAAACCCCGGUAGUCC
RNAcentral lists this ribosomal RNA (425 nucleotides) under uncultured bacterium. RNAcentral's name for it is "partial 16S ribosomal RNA". It matches the Rfam family "Bacterial small subunit ribosomal RNA", at positions 354 to 796 of the family's 1533-position model. The record is from RNAcentral.